RNAcentral lists this transfer RNA (85 nucleotides) under Acidithiobacillus caldus. RNAcentral's name for it is "tRNA-Leu". It matches the Rfam family "tRNA". Rfam says of the family: Transfer RNA (tRNA) molecules are approximately 80 nucleotides in length. Their secondary structure includes four short double-helical elements and three loops (D, anti-codon, and T loops). Further hydrogen bonds mediate the characteristic L-shaped molecular structure. tRNAs have two regions of fundamental functional importance: the anti-codon, which is responsible for specific mRNA codon recognition, and the 3' end, to which the tRNAs corresponding amino acid is attached (by aminoacyl-tRNA synthetases). tRNAs cope with the degeneracy of the genetic code in two manners: having more than one tRNA (with a specific anti-codon) for a particular amino acid; and 'wobble' base-pairing, i.e. permitting non-standard base-pairing at the 3rd anti-codon position. Lineage: Bacteria; Pseudomonadati; Pseudomonadota; Acidithiobacillia; Acidithiobacillales; Acidithiobacillaceae. The record is from RNAcentral. RNAcentral also lists the same sequence under 4 other names.
GCGAGAGUGGCGGAAUUGGUAGACGCACUGGAUUUAGGUUCCAGCGCCGCAAGGCGUGGGAGUUCGAGUCUCCCCUUUCGCACCA